RNAcentral lists this ribosomal RNA (907 nucleotides) under endophytic bacterium. RNAcentral's name for it is "bacterial SSU rRNA". The record is from RNAcentral.
UKGGMRGGCCWAMMMAUGCAAGUCGAGCGGAUGACGGGAGCUUGSUCCUUGAUUCRGCGGCGGACGGGUGAGUAAUGCCURGGARUCUGCCUGGUAGUGGGGGACAACGUUUCGAARGGAACGCUAAUACCGCAUACGUCCUACGGGAGAAAGCAGGGGACCUUCGGGCCUUGCGCUAUCMGAUGARCCUAGGUCGGAUUARCUAGUUGGUGAGGUAAUGGCUCACCAAGGCGACGAUCCGUAACUGGUCUGAGAGGAUGAUCARUCACACUGGAACUGAGACACGGUCCAGACUCCUACGGGAGGCAGCAGUGGGGAAUAUUGGACAAUGGGCGAAAGCCUGAUCCAGCCAUGCCGCGUGUGUGAAGAAGGUCUUCGGAUUGUAAAGCACUUUAAGUUGGGAGGAAGGGCAGUAAGUUAAUACCUUGCUGUUUUGACGUUACCGACAGAAUAAGCACCGGCUAACUCUGUGCCAGCAGCCGCGGUAAUACAGAGGGUGCAAGCGUUAAUCGGAAUUACUGGGCGUAAAGCGCGCGUAGGUGGUUCGUUAAGUUGGAUGUGAAAGCCCCGGGCUCAACCUGGGAACUGCAUCCAAAACUGGCGAGCUAGAGUAUGGUAGAGGGUGGUGGAAUUUCCUGUGUAGCGGUGAAAUGCGUAGAUAUAGGAAGGAACACCAGUGGCGAAGGCGACCACCUGGACUGAUACUGACACUGAKGUGCGAAAGCGUGGGGAGCAAACAGGAUUAGAUACCCUGGUAGUCCACGCCGUAAACGAUGUCAACUAGCCGUUGGAAUCCUUGAGAUUUUUAGUGGCGCAGCUAACGCAUUAAGUUGACCGCCUGSGGAGUACGGCCGCAAGGUUAAACUCAAUGAGUUGACGGGGGCCCCGCACAAGCCGGUGGGAAGCA